UCUCUCAAUCACGCACCUUCUUCCCCCCUCCCCCAACUCUCUCACUCUCCCCCAACUCUCUCUCUCUCUCUCUGAACUCCCUCGAUCAACCCCUCCGCCUCCGCAUCUGUCUCCUUAUCUGAUCGUCGUCGUUGCCGCCUCCAGUAGUCAUUGUCGCGUUCUGUUGUUUGAUUCUUUCACACCGCUCCGCUUUGGCAACUCAGAGAUCAUCUUCCCAAGAUCAAGUUUGGGCAGUUGUGGCCGCAAGGUUUUGCUGUGGUGGCUCCGUGUUGAAGCUCGUGCAGAUAGCAAAUUCCCUGCCCGGUUAGUCAUUUUCUACAGUUCUAAUUAAUGGUAUUGCUUCCAUAGUUAUGCUAGUCAUGAAGAAAAUUAUCAUCGUUAUGACCACUCUAUAUGUCAGAACUCAUGUGGAGUGUCCAUUGGUUUAACAAUGUUCAUUUCAUCUAGAAAGAACCACUGGGGCUAGUUUAUGUAUGGACAGGGUUUAAAUUAUUUAGUUAAGAUCAUCACAAGGCAGUGCUUGAAUAUUUGCAGUACAAUUUUGAUGUAAUAGCCCUUAGAUAGUUCAUUGUACACAGUGCUAGCUAGUCUUUAUACUAUCCCCUGAUCAUUUGAAUUUUUUAGGGUUUGGGUUACUUAUAUGAGUCAGAUGGUGAAUAUUAAUAAUGAAAGGAACAAAGAUAUAGAAAUAACUCUACUAGAGAAUAUUUAAUGAUCCGAAAAUAAGUUUAAAAAUAUUCACCAUGAACAAACGUUUAGGUAAAAUUUAUAUUUUUAACCUUUACAAUGUUAUAUAUAGUACGAAUUUAUAUAUAUCAUUUUAAUUUUAAUUAUUAUUUUUCAAACUUAUUUAUGAAUAUAAUAUUUAAUUAUAUUAUUUAUGAAUAUAAUUAUAUUCUUUAUUAGGAAAGGAUCAGAUCAUACCUUAUCAGUUCAUCACUAGCUAGCUACUAGCUACCUAGUUCAUUAUCAUGUUUGCCAAUUAAUUAAUUAAUGUAUUAUUAUUAUUAUUGUCACAUACUUUAUCAGCAGCUUACAAAUAUUAAGAUAUCAAACAAAAUUAAUGGAUAUAUAUAAAGCUUGCAGAUGGAUAAAACCUGAUCAAGAAAUUAGGUCACCUGCACUUUUCCCCUUUAUUAUCUCCCCCCCCCCCCCUCUGCUUGUUGGGUAACCUAAGCAAUUGGGUCGUCCAUUUUUUUAAUAAAAAGUGACAAACAAUAGCUAGUUCUGGUAUAAAAAAAAAAAAAAGAAAAA
Molecule: long non-coding RNA, 1254 nt
Organism: Diospyros lotus (date-plum)
Lineage: Eukaryota; Viridiplantae; Streptophyta; Magnoliopsida; Ericales; Ebenaceae
Exons: 2
Source: RefSeq, a predicted model, not a curated record